AAACGUAGGUGGCGAGCGUUGUCCGGAAUCACUGGGUGUAAAGGGCGUGUAGGCGGGGGUGCAAGUCAGGUGUGAAAGACCACGGCUCAACCGUGGGGUUGCACUUGAAACUGUAUCUCUUGAGUAUUGGAGAGGGAAGCGGAAUUCCUAGUGUAGCGGUGAAAUGCGUAGAGAUUAGGAGGAACACCAGUGGCGAAGGCGGCUUCCUGGCCAAAUACUGACGCUGAGGCGCGAAAGCGUGGGGAGCAAACAGGAUUAGAUACCCUGGUAGUCCACGCCGUAAACGAUGGAUACUAGGUGUAGGUGGUAGUAAACCAUCUGUGCCGGAGUUAACACAAUAAGUAUCCCACCUGGGGAGUACGGCCGCAAGGUUGAA
This 376-nucleotide ribosomal RNA is filed under the name uncultured bacterium. RNAcentral describes it as "bacterial SSU rRNA". It matches the Rfam family "Bacterial small subunit ribosomal RNA", at positions 523 to 898 of the family's 1533-position model. The record is from RNAcentral.